Molecule: ribosomal RNA, 403 nt
Filed under: uncultured bacterium
Lineage: Bacteria
Description: partial 16S ribosomal RNA
Rfam family: Bacterial small subunit ribosomal RNA
Source: RNAcentral
GACGAACGCUGGCGGCGUGCCUAAUACAUGCAAGUCGAACGCAGUGGGGACGGGUGAGUAACACGUGGGUAACCUCCCAUCAGAGGGGAUAAAACUUGGAAACAGGUGCUAAACCGAUAAAGAAGGAUUGACCAGCGGUGCAGUAGCUAGUUGGUGAGGUAAGGGCUCACCAAGGCCACGAUGCAUAGCCGACCUGAGAGGGUGAUUGGUCACACGUGGACUGAUGCACGGCCCAGACUCCUGCGGAAGGCAGCCGGAGGGAAUCUUCGGCAAUUGACGAAUGUCUGUCCGAGCAACGCCGCUUGAGUUAAGAAGGUUUUCGGAUCGUAAGACUCUGUUGUUAAAGAAGCGGUAUCUAACCAAAAAGCCACGGCUAACUACGUGCCAGCAGCCGCGGUAAUAC